UUCGUACUUUCUCACUUUAGUAUUCUGUGAUUUAAAGUGUAUCGAUUUAGUACUCUAUAAUUUUUUUUUCUUAUUAUCUCUUUUACUAAUUUUUUUGUUUAAUUAGUGACAAAGUUAAAACUAAAAUGUAUUAAAUUGAAUAUUCGAUAAAUCCUAGAUAGAGUAUAUGAAGUUUUUUUGUAUAUAAUAUGGCAAAAUGUAAACGGAUGAGCUGCCAAAAAGAGAGAAAUAAAAUCUACAAAGUAUUAAAUUGAUACAACCUUAAAUUAGACGG
Molecule: long non-coding RNA, 274 nt
Filed under: Ananas comosus (pineapple)
Lineage: Eukaryota; Viridiplantae; Streptophyta; Magnoliopsida; Poales; Bromeliaceae
Description: long non-coding RNA (ACOM_LNC042871)
Source: RNAcentral